RNAcentral lists this long non-coding RNA (3637 nucleotides) under Mus musculus (house mouse). Its description in RNAcentral is "long non-coding RNA chr12:29590248-29593885". Lineage: Eukaryota; Metazoa; Chordata; Mammalia; Rodentia; Muridae. The record is from RNAcentral.
AUGCUCAGACUCUCACUUCUUUUUAGCCUCUUAAAUAGAAUCUUCUGGAAUGAACCAUCCAUUAAUAAGAUUAUAUAUUUUAAAACAUAUUGGCCUUAAGCUAAAUGACUUCUGAUUUUUGACUCAUAUUUAUAACUAAAACUUACUCCUUUUCUGCUGUUCCAUGAUUUUCUUUAUUUUUCUCAUGAAUAUAGACAAAAAUGAAGGUCAGCCCUGUGCUCAGGAGGUGGUGCUCGGUAGAACCUAACACAGAAUGAGCUGCAAGGGACAGCCACAGAGCUGGGGUGGGACAGAGGCCCAAGGGUGUUUCCUGACUUACUGAGCCUGUUGUGACAGGGUAGUUUCCACCGGAAGAGACAGAGUCUUAUUUUAAAAAAGAAGGUCCUUUGGGAGAAUAUCCAGGGAUUUUUCACAGUGGCCUUGAAUAUGAAAAAAAAAUAGGAUGUUUCUUAUGCAUUCCUUUUUUGUUACUUUGCUUAUUUAUUUAUGUGGUGCUGGGUGUGUGUGCCAUGUGUGGAGGUCACAGGACAACAUGGGGCAGUUGGUUCUUUCUUUUCACCACAUGGGUCCUGAGACUGGAACUCGGGUCCCCAGGCAUGGCAGCAGGUGCUUGACCUGAUCACUGGUCCAAAUGAUAUUUUCUUCAUAAAAUUUACUAUAUUAUUGAUAUUUCUUUUUCUUAAAAGAUUUAUUUAUUUAUUUUAUAUGAGUAUACUGUCUCUGUCUUCAGAUACACCAGAAGAGGGCACCGGAUCCCAUUACAGACGGUUGUGAGACAUCAUUUGGUUGCUGGGAAUUAAACUCAGAAACUCUGGAAGAGCAGUCAGUGCUCCUACCCUCUGAGCCAACUCUCCAGCCCUUACUGAUGUUUCUGAAAUCUAUAAGUUGUUUCAAUGAUCACCAAAACCCUUUGAUCAAAACCUUUUGAGAAUAGGGUAUUUUUCAGUCUCCAGACAUUUGGCUGGUUAGUAUUUCUUUCUCCUCUUUGGUAUAACAGUAUGUGCUGCAUACACAUCAUUUACAGGCUGCUGUCACUCUUCAGAGUGGUAGGAGUAAUAGAUAGCCAAGGUCCUUUGGCUCCACUCAGAGAGUUGGGCAUAGAAGCCACAAGUACUGCAAAUACAAAUGCUAACUCAACAUGAAAAAGCAUAAUGCAGGGGCUGCCUUGCACAUGAAAAAAUGCUACUGUUUAGAAAAGAUGCAGGGCUGUGAGUUUAGUUACAGUGAUAAUGGAUAAUGUAUUUCCCUUAUGCUCUUUUCUCAGCAGGGUCCUGUCAACAGUCAGGGAAAAUGCAGGGCAUGGGAGACUAUUUAGAAAGCAAAUUAUUAGCCCCACCUCAAGUUAUAGAAUGGGAAAAACAGGAGGGACAUUUAGGAGGUAUUUGCAUACACUUGCCCAAUUAUAUAUGUACACAGAUGUGAACAUCUGCAACUGCUCUGCAUCUCUACAUGCCAUCCUUCCCUCAGCUGUCACUGGUUACACAAAGAUUGCUAUGCCUUUGCCUUUAGUUGCAGCUUUAGCUACCUGUCAGCAGCUCCUGUCCAUAGUAAGUUGUUUUUUUUUUAACUAAACAACACACACACACACACACACAUCCAUAUAGACAUACACAGACUCACAUACACCCUCACAUAUUCAUACACAUAUGCACUCAAAUACACACAGAUACACACACAGACAUAAAGACACAGACACACAGAGAGACACACACACUCACAUCCAUAUAGACAUACACAGACUCACAUACACCCUCACAUAUUCAUACACAGAUGCACUCAAAUACACACAGACACAGACACACACACACACAUACACACACACACACACACACACACACACACACACACACAACUUUCAGGCUAUUGAAGAAUCCUGCUUCUUGUUCUGGACUGUUUCUGGACUGUUUCCCCAUAUUCUAUUGUACAAUCUUGUCAAAAUUUUGGCUUCUUUUUACCUGUGUCCAUGGGAAUGACUAACUGGAGUUAGACACUUAUUUUUAUUUUCAAAUUCAGAUGGUCUGGCCCCUCCUGCUGCUCUCUAACUCACAGCUACAGCCUGUGACCUGAGGGUGUGGGGAUAGCUAGAGGUGGCAAACAGUGCUCCUAUUGUAGAAGCACAGGAAGCUUGUGUUUGGGAAAGCCUGCAGUGUUUCCCAAACUUCUCCUUCUGAGCUGUAGAGAUGCACCGCAAAGCAGAGAGUGCCGUCUGCACAGAGAAGGGUACAGGCCAUGACUGUACACAGCAGGAUACACACCCAUUUCUGUAACCUAGCAAACACACCGUGUGUCCUUGGACUUGCUUUCCAACAGUGAUCCAGUGGGGUCGUAUAAUAUUAAGGCACACGGCAUUGCAAGCCUCUGUAUGUGCACAGGGUAUAAAUAGUUGGAAAUUAGAACAUGGAUUCAGUCUGAGCUCUACAGGCCUUUUAUAUGCCAAAGAUUCAUAAUUUUAGAAAAUAGGAUUCCCCGUAAAAAUCUUUUGAAAAGCCUAACCUCAAGUGGGAACUGGUUUAAUUAUUGCUCUUAAAUUCAUUUGGAUCCGAAGUGGACAGAAUGGAGUCUUCCAUACUGGCAUCCUUCUCUGCUCCAUUUCAAAGAGCCAGAGCUGCAUGAAAGACAACAAGCUUAUAAGAAAGAGCCCUUGAUUUCUUCACACUCACUAUGGCUAUGAUUAAAACUGAUUUCAAGUGUCUAUGGAAAGUCAGACAACUGGAUCUUGGAGAUGUAGUUAACACAUUAGGUCACUUGGGACACCUUCUUGAUGACACAACAGUAACAGCAUUUGGAACAGCACUAUCUUCCAAGCCUUGAGAUUAAAAAGUAUUAUCACUUUAUAUGUUUCAUAAAACCCAGUGAUGGGGAAACCAAAGUGUUUCACAAGAUCCCAGAACUAGGACAAUCUCAACUGCCUCAUAUCUCAGCCCAUAUGGAAGAGUGUCUCCCAUCCAGGAGAGCCCAAGGUUGUCCUGAAAUCACACUUUCAGUUAGCUUUAGAAUUAGACUUAAGAUAUAUAGGAAAGAUUACUCAGUGGUUAAGCAAAGGACCAGGUUCAGUUCCCAACACCCGCAUCGAGUGGCUCACAACUGUCUAACUCUAGUUCUAGGAGAUCCAGCGCCCUCUUCUGGCCUCCAUGGAUACAUGUAUAUAUGUGGUGUAUAUGCAACUAUUCAGGACUAUGAAUAUAAAAUGAAAGAAAUAUAUUUAAAAGUAAUUAUAAGAUAUAUAAUAGCCUUAAUAGAUUUAAUAACUGGACUGCUGGUUUAAUAGACUGAUUUCUGGUAUUUUCUUCUUCUGAAGAAACACAAGAUUCCAGGGAACAUAGAAUUCUCAAAGAUUUGAGACAAGUAAGUGUGCAGAUCAAGACUGGCUCCUGUCAGGACUCACAGGGCUCAGGAGCAAGGUUAGGCCUGUAACUCCAAGGCAUUCUCUGCCGUGGACUGUGGCCCCCCCAAAGGCCCGGGCCCAGCAGUUGCUCUCUCUCUUACCCUCGCUUUCAGAUUGGAUGGUCAGGUGUAAUUUUGCACACAGCUGCUGGAGGCAAAGAUGUUUCAACUUCUUGUCUCUCUCCUAAGAAGCAUUGCAGAGGAACACUGCGGGAGGGUGAGUCUCAACUCCUCCAAGUAACCUGGUUGGCUG